ACUUUUAUGGUGUAUAGCACAAGAAAUUUUCAAUUUCUAGGAAUAAAAUAUAUAAGUUUUUAUUAAAAGUU
Molecule: transfer RNA, 71 nt
Filed under: Argonauta argo
Lineage: Eukaryota; Metazoa; Mollusca; Cephalopoda; Octopoda; Argonautidae
Description: tRNA-Glu
Source: RNAcentral